UUUUUUUUUUUUUUUUGUCCCCUGCACAAUGUGUCUUUUGUGAGGUUAAUGCCAUUCUGGGCUCUCGAUAGCCCUGGACAAUGGGAACUCUCCAGGAGCCUGCAGAGACUCUGGCUUUUUUCUUUCUUGAUUUUUUUUUUUUUUUUUUUUUUUAAGGAAAGGAUGAAACAUUCCUACAGUCCAAACACAACUUCUACUUUGAUUAAAUAAAUAUUUAUCUUUAUUGUAGCCAUUGUAUAUUUUUACCUUCAGUUUGUCCAGUUUCUGAUUAUUAUUUUAAAAUUUUCAUUGGCAACAGUUAAUCUUUUUUUUUUUUUUUCCCUUUCAGUCCCAAGUGCAGGUCAGUGUAAAAUGUAGCUGACUGAAGGAAGACUGGUAAAUUCUGAAUUUUUCCAUAACACGUCAGGAAUGGAUACAUACAUAUAUAAACACAAGGAUAUAUGCGUAACUGGAUACAUAUACAUCUGAAUGACUUUGGAUGUCUUUACGUGUGUGUGUGAAUCCGUAUGUGCACACAAAUAUACAAGGCGUACCUAAAUGCAGGUACAGUACAGAGCUCUGUGUUUUCUCUCUUCUCUCUCUCUCUCUCUCUUUCUCUCUCUCUCUUUCUCUCUCUCUCUCGCUGGGGCUUUUUUGUUUCCAAAUCUGUUUGAAGUUACUUUUUUGCAAAUAUAACAUGGAAGUGUUGGUUUAAUGAUGAAGAUGUGGAUGUUGAAUUGGAGUAAGAACCUGCUCCCCUGCGAUUCUCAGAAUCUGGGGUUGCAAUGUGAGCAGCUAUUAUUUGGUCCAAGGUGCGCUGGGCCAGCCUUAAGGGGAAGGGGAGGAGAAGAGGGUCUUAGGAGAUCUUACUUCCAAAGAGCCUAGCUCCUAGGCCCUGGGUUUUCUUCCUGCUGGGGGCUGGGGGAGGGGGGGGACACAAAAACAAAAAAGGGAAGAGAAAGAAAAAAGGAAACCCCGUGUGGAGCCUGGGGUGGUUGAAAGGACGCCUCUCGGUACAACUCGAGAGCUGGAUCCGAGAGAAGGGUGGCGGGGUGAAGAAUUGCGGAUCCCCUUUUAAAUGUGUAUUGUUAUUCUGAGCCCAUUGUAUGUACGUGUCGCUGCCCUUUCAUUUGCCAAGACAACGUAUGGAUUCCAUAAAUGCAGACAUGCCGGAGCGCAUCUGUCUGGCUGGUUAACACGA
Miniopterus natalensis is the source of this 1180-nucleotide long non-coding RNA. RefSeq lists it as uncharacterized. The record is from RefSeq and is a predicted model, not a curated record. NCBI's taxonomy places the organism in Eukaryota, Metazoa, Chordata, Mammalia, Chiroptera, Miniopteridae.